This is an RNA transcript of Mustela lutreola (European mink), 1746 nucleotides long. It is a transcript of the gene named potassium channel tetramerization domain containing 14, with no coding region annotated. NCBI's taxonomy places the organism in Eukaryota, Metazoa, Chordata, Mammalia, Carnivora, Mustelidae. The record is from RefSeq and is a predicted model, not a curated record. The transcript has 3 exons.
GUUUCUGAUCAUUUAAGAAAGUGAAUAUUUGGGGUGCCUGGAUGGCUCAGUCAGUUGAGUGUCUGCCUUUGGCUCAGGUCAUGAUCUCACAGUCCUGGGACUGAGCCCCAUGUUAGGCUCUUUGCUCAGUGGGGAGUCUGCUCCUCCCUCCCCCAUCAUGCCUUCUCUCCCUAUCUUUCUCUUUCUCAAAUAAAUGAAUAAAAUCUUAAAAAAAAAUAAAGUGAAUAUUUGGGUCCCAGAUCCAUUUAAGCUCUAGCCUAUAGUCAGACCUUUUCAGGAAGAUUUUUCUCCACCCAGAACCAAGGAAUAAGACAAGCACAGCAUUCCCCUUUGAGUGGAGGAUUGUUUUAUAAUUUACCUUUUUGUAGUCCUUGAUCCAAUGUCCUAUGCUGUGAGUGGCCCAGACUUUGUCUCCUACUUUCUCUCUCUCUCUUUUUUUUGGGGGGGUUGCGUUAUGUGCUUCACAAAUACUGCAUUUUUUACAAACUGAAGUUUUGUGGCAACCCUAUGUCAAGCAAGUCUAUCAGCACCAUUUUUCUUUCUUCCUUCCUUCCUUUUUUUUUUCCCAAAAAGAUCACCAAACCCCGGGGAUCAUGACCCCAGCUGAAAGCAGACUCCCAACUGACUGAACCGCUCAGGUGCCUCCCAGAUUUUCCUUGUUUUAAUGACGCCAACAGUUUUGAGGAUUAUUAGUCAGGUAUAUUGAGGAAAGUCAUUCUAUUGGAAUCUGUUAGAUGUUUUUCUCAUGAUUAGAUUGGGAUUAUGGGUUUUGGGUAGAAGAUCACAGAAGUAAAGUGCCAUUUUCAUCACAUCGUUCCAAAGGUAUUUACUAUCAUCUUGAUGUUGACCUUGAUUACCUGGCUGAGGUAGGGUUUGUCAAGUUUUUGUUUCUGUUCCACCCCCCCCUUCCUUUCCAUGCUCUCCUCUUUGGAAGAAAGUCACUAUGCAUGACCAUACUUUAGGAGUGAGGAAUUAUGCUCCCCCUCUUAGGGUUAUGUUUUAACAAGCAAAAUAACCCACACGACAGGUAUCUUAGCUCUUUGCAUCAAUGGUCAUGCCUUGAGCUUUUAGCAGCUGAUCUUAAGUGGAAACAUAUUCUGCACUGGCCACCCUCUCUCUUGGAGCCUCACUUUCCUCAUUUGUGAAGUUAGGGUUAUUGAUCCUUCGCCCCUAGAACUGUAGAGAGUAGAAAGUCUCCUGCUGUCAGUGUCAAUUCCCUCUGCCUCCGGCUUUUGGCUAUCUGGGAGCCCCCUCCCAGAGAGGGUCAGUGAUGACCUAAGGUCUUACAGCAUGCUUGGCAGAGCCAAAGUCAACCCCGGGCUCUAACCACACCCUGGGUCCACUUUGCCCCACCCGGGGGCGUGGAGCAAAGGUGUACUUCCGCCAGCCAGCCGUAGGUACCUCACACGUGGCGAGUCUGGGUGCCCAGCCACCUGCAGGACCAGAAUGAUGAGUCUGAGCUCGGGAUCCCGCUCUCUGCGGUCCAACCAGGCCUCCCCCUCCACUGGCCCGUCAGGGGUCUGCUGGCAGCACUCAGUGUUCCCCAAAUGCAACCUGACUCUCAGUCCGUUCUCAUGUCUCCCUCGCACUGGCCUGUGGGCAUCUCCAGGGAUCUCCUGUCCUAGAGCUUAACGUGGGAGGCGAAUUGUACACCACCACCGUGGGCACCCUGAGAAAGCUCCCGGGUUCAAAGCUGGCAGAGAUGUUCUCCAGCUCCGCUAAGGCCUACACGGAUGCAGAGGGCCG